This 415-nucleotide ribosomal RNA is filed under the name uncultured bacterium. RNAcentral describes it as "bacterial SSU rRNA". It matches the Rfam family "Bacterial small subunit ribosomal RNA", at positions 791 to 1201 of the family's 1533-position model. The record is from RNAcentral.
UAGUCCGUGCAGUAAACGAUGAGUGCUAGAUGUUGGGAAUUUAAAUUUCCAGUAUCGCAGUUAACGCGUUAAGCACUCCGCCUGGGAAGUACGGCCGCAAGGCUAAAACUCAAAUGAAUUGACGGGGACCCGCACAAGCGGUGGAUCAUGUGGUUUAAUUCGAAGAUACGCGAAGAACCUUACCGGCCCUUGACAUACCAAUCGCGGACUUAAGAGAUUAAGUCUUUCACUUCGGGUGGAUUGGAUACAGGUGCUGCAUGGCUGUCGUCAGCUCGUGUCGUGAGAUGUUGGGUUAAGUCCCGCAACGAGCGCAACCCUUACCUUCAAUUGCCAGCACGUUAUGGUGGGAACUUUGAAGGAACUGCCGGUGAUAAGCCGGAGGAAGGUGGGGAUGACGUCAAGUCCUCAUGGGCCC